Magnolia sinica is the source of this 2947-nucleotide RNA transcript. It is a transcript of the gene named probable inactive poly [ADP-ribose] polymerase SRO1, with no coding region annotated. The transcript is spliced from 8 exons. Lineage: Eukaryota; Viridiplantae; Streptophyta; Magnoliopsida; Magnoliales; Magnoliaceae. The record is from RefSeq and is a predicted model, not a curated record.
UUCAAUGUCAUGAACUGUACUUAAAAAGGUUUACAUCUGCCUAAAUGCUAUAAAGAUUGAAGCGAGGAGAGAAGAAGAGCUUUAAUUUUUAAGUGUUCCUCCAUCUUCAGAGUUUCUACCGCAUAGUUCAGUAUGGAAACAGGUAAUGCAGCUGGAUCCUCGGGCUCGAAACGCAAUCGCAGGGCCCACGACUUUGGAUCCUCGGGCUCGAAACACAAUCGCAAGGUCCACAACGCUGGAUCCUCGGGCUCGAAAUGCAAUCGCAGGGCCCACGGCACCAUGACCCGCUCCAAGUGUCUGCGAGGUGACGGCGACGAGGCGCGGCCGUCGCGGAAAUCUGCUAUCUCCAGAAAUUACCUGAAUUUCUUCCAAAGUAGAUUGCCUCGAUGUUUAAUGUACUACUACAACAAGCAGUGGAGAGACUUCCCUGAGGACGUGACGGUGUCACUUGUCGAAGCAUUCAGAGCCAAGCGAUCAGCUGUUGAGGUGUUGAUGGGGGAGUCCACAUACCUAGUCGAUCUUCUCAACAUGAUCUUGAUUGACUUGAAAGGCGGGAUGCACCGAUCUGUUGCUUGGAUUGACGAGUCUGGGAAGUGCUUUUUCCCAGUGGACGAUGGUUGUGGGCCUUGCAAUAGCCAAAAGAUCAAGUUACAUCUUGCCGAUGGGGGGCAAGGGGAAGAUAAUCCGGUGCCCGUGGAUCGCAACAUGGUUUCAGGUUCUAAGAAGAUUGAAGUGAAUCCAAAUGUUAAAGAAGAGAUUGGAGAAAAUGUUAUACCAUGCCCGGCACCUGCGGACAACAACAAGGUUUCAAGAUUUGAGGGGAUGGAAGUGAGUCAGAAGGUGAAAGGGAUGUGUGUGGAAAAUGUUGUUCCACUCCUGGCAGCAGAGGGAAAUGAGGUUAGUCCACAUCCUGGAGAAGAUCAAAACAAGGUUUCAGACGUUGAGGGGAUUGAAGGCGUACAAAGGAGUGAGGAAAAUGUCAUUCCACUCCAACAACCCGAAAAAGACCGAAACAAGGUUUUAGAAAUGGCGGGAAAUGACGUGAGUCAGGGCAUUGAAGGAGCGAACGCGGAAAAUGUUAUUCCGCUCCCUGAAGAAAACCAUGACAAGGUCUUGGGUAUUGAAGGAAGCAAAGGGAGUGUGAAAGGACACCUCCCUCACCCAAAGCCCGAUAUAGUGAGUGCGGGAGAUGUCCUUCCGCACCCCGAACCAGAAAAAGUCCAUAACAAGGUUUCAGGCUCUACACCGAUCGAAGUGAGCUCAGAUGAUGAAGGAGAAAGUGUGGAAGAUGUCACUCCACACCUACAGCCCCAUGAAGUUUGCAAGAAGGUUUCGAACUUUGAAGAAGUUAAAGGAGCGAGCCCAGAAAAAAUCGCUUCACAAGAAGUCCUUAACAAGGUUUCAGGCUUUAAAGGGAUUGAAACGAGUCCGGGAAUUGAAGCAGUGAACACUGAAAAUGCCGAUCGACGUCAUGGGCUGGACAAAGCCCAUGACAAGGUUUCAGGUUCUAAAGAGAUUAGAGCAAUUCCGGCGGUUGAAGUAGCCCAGGUGAAAAAUGUUGUUCUGUGCCAGAGUGGCAAAGAAGAACUUCACAAUGUUCCGCCCUUUCCAGAGAUUGACAUUGAAGUGAGCUCGAAGGUUAAACAAGUGGCCGCGGAGAAUGUGGUUCGGCCCAUGGAAGAUCUUACAUUCGCCGUUUUGUGGAAGAAAUUGGUGAGGUUGGCGAGAGACGAGCCAGAGUUCAUUGCAGUUCAGAACACUUUCUUGAUUGGGUUCAGUGGCCUCAUCACACCAAUAAACUUAGUUGGUAUUUAUCGUCAUUCACCGUCGGGUUCCGUUGCGAUCACACGGCUAAAAUCGUUCGAGAAACAGAUAGAGAUCACAAAGAGGUAUAGGGGCUAUGCUAAUGUCUGUGGUGGAUGGCAUGGAUCAUCUAGAGAGGGUGUGAUUGGGAUAAUACUUUAUGGGUUCUGGAAUUGCGGCGAGCCGGUGGGUGGAUCAGGUUACAGCAACGGCAUUUAUCUCUCGCCUGAUGAACAUGCUCAUAUCAGUGCAUGCUACUCGGAGUUAGACAACAAUGGCAUACAACACAUGGUGUUUUGCCGAGCAAUUAUGGGAAAUAUGGAACAAGUUCGACAUGGAACCAAUCAAUACCAUCCCAGCUCUGAGAAUUUUGAUAGUGGCGUCGAUGAUCUUCAGGACCCAAAGCAUUAUGUCGUGUGGCCCACCCACAUGAAUACACACAUACAUCCUGAGUAUGUCGUCAGCUUCACACUGCCUCCUUCUGUCCGAGAUUAUUUUCUUUCCACAGAGCAUUUGGCUGGGAAAAGAGAUGGUCAGGGCACUGUCGAUGUUGUGAUGAGAAGUGGUCAGCAAGUGAUCCUAGCCCUACAUCCUGAAACCAACGGCCAAAACACAGCCUCAGAACCGAAAUGGCCCACCUCGGGUUGGUUGCCGUUCACGAUGCUGUUCCACGCGAUUGAACAUCGCCUUUCGCCUUUCGUCAAAGACAUGCUGCUCUACAACUGUAACUUGUACAAGAGCAAGAGAAUUACUCGCAAGGAGAUGAUUCAGAAGAUGAGAAUGCUUGUUGGAGAUAAUCUUUUGCUAUCUACACUGAAGAGACUUCAGCUCAAACCACCGUUCCAGGCCAUAGCAGCCCAGCAAAUGCCCAUGCGUAAUGGGCCCCAAGCCCGCGAGAAAUAGAAAUACGAGAUGUGCUGAAGUGGGGCCCACUAUCCAGGGUAUGAAAUUUCAUUGCCGGCAAAAUAAUAAUAAUAAUAAUAAUAAUUUAUGGUAUUUGUCGACUCUAAAUAUAAAAUAUUUUAAAUAAGCUUAAACAUGUUAUGAGUAUUAGUGGAUUUUCUGUUGCGUUUAAUAUUGAUAAUGUUGGAAUGGUGUUGAUGAUACUUGCUGGGCCAUUUUCUAAUGUGGGCCUUGUUCUCUG